Molecule: ribosomal RNA, 497 nt
Filed under: uncultured bacterium
Lineage: Bacteria
Description: partial 16S ribosomal RNA
Rfam family: Bacterial small subunit ribosomal RNA
Source: RNAcentral
GACGAACGCUGGCGGCGUGCCUAAUACAUGCAAGUUGAGCGCUGAAGGUUGGUACUUGUACCAACUGGAUGAGCAGCGAACGGGUGAGUAACGCGUGGGGAAUCUGCCUUUGAGCGGGGGACAGCAUUUGGAAACGAAUGCUAAUACCGCAUAAAAACUUUAAACACAAGUUUUAAGUUUGAAAGAUGCAAUUGCCUCACUCAAAGAUGAUUCCGCGUUGUAUUAGCUAGUUGGUGAGGUAAAGGCUCACCAAGGCGAUGAUACAUAGCCGACCUGAGAGGGUGAUCGGCCACAUUGGGACUGAGACACGGCCCAAACUCCUACGGGAAGCAGCAGUAGGGAAUCUUCGGCAAUGGACGAAAGUCUGACCGAGCAACGCCGCGGGAGUGAAGAAGGUUUUCGGAUCGUAAAACUCUGUUGGUAGAGAAGAACGUUGGUGAGAGUGGAAAGCUCAUCAAGUGACGGUAACUACCCAGAAAGGGACGGCUAACUACGUG